Molecule: ribosomal RNA, 468 nt
Filed under: uncultured bacterium
Lineage: Bacteria
Description: partial 16S ribosomal RNA
Rfam family: Bacterial small subunit ribosomal RNA
Source: RNAcentral
GACGAACGCUGGCGGCGUGCUUAACACAUGCAAGUCGAACGGAAAGGCCCUGCUUUUGUGGGGUGCUCGAGUGGCGAACGGGUGAGUAACACGUGAGUAACCUGCCCUUGACUUUGGGAUAACUUCAGGAAACUGGGGCUAAUACCGGAUAGGAGCUCCUGCUGCAUGGUGGGGGUUGGAAAGUUUCGGCGGUUGGGGAUGGACUCGCGGCUUAUCAGCUUGUUGGUGGGGUAGUGGCUUACCAAGGCUUUGACGGGUAGCCGGCCUGAGAGGGGGACCGGCCACAUGGGGACUGAGAUACGGCCCAGACUCCUACGGGAGGCAGCAGGGGGGAAUAUUGCACAAUGGGCGGAAGCCUGAUGCAGCAGCGCCGCGUGCGGGAUGACGGCCUUCGGGUUGUGAACCGCUUUCGCCUGUGACGAAGCGUGAGUGACGGUAAUGGGUAAAGAAGCACCGGCUAACUACGUG